Non-coding RNA from Thalassophryne amazonica, 621 nucleotides. NCBI's taxonomy places the organism in Eukaryota, Metazoa, Chordata, Actinopteri, Batrachoidiformes, Batrachoididae. The record is from the annotation of a RefSeq genome assembly.
UCUCAUGCUGUGUUGAGCCUGCUGUUGAGUUCAGAGAAAUCAUUUCCAUAGAGAGGAGGCGUCACAUCGUCAGCAGUGAGCUGAGAAGCUUUAAAGCGGCGUGAGUUCAUCACUGCAGGACUCAGAUCUGUCAGAAAGCAAAAACAGCAUGACUCUCAUCACCAUCCUCAUGUGGACUCUGAGCUGCUGCUGGUUCACAGGAUGCAGCAGUCAGAUUACUGUGACUCAGCCUCCACUAGUCACAUCGACUGCAGGAUCCACUGUCACUCUCACCUGUACAACUAACACACCUGUUUACAGAUGGUCUGAUGGUGAUGUACAGACACACUGGUAUCAACAGAAAUCUGGGCAGGUUCCAAAGCUCCUUAUAUACCUGGGAAGAAAUCGUCAUUCUGGAACACCAGGUCGGUUUAGUGGCAGUGGAAGCAGCACUGACUUCAGUUUGACCAUCAGUGGAGUUCAGGCUGAAGAUGCAGCAGUUUAUUACUGUCAGAGUUACCACAGUGGGCCUGUGUUCACACAGUGAUUUAGAGUCGUACAAAAACCUCCCUCAGUCAGAGACGCUGAGCCGUUACACACACACACACACACACACACACACACACACACACACACACACAC